This is a long non-coding RNA of Nerophis lumbriciformis (worm pipefish), 442 nucleotides long. RefSeq lists it as uncharacterized. Lineage: Eukaryota; Metazoa; Chordata; Actinopteri; Syngnathiformes; Syngnathidae. The record is from RefSeq and is a predicted model, not a curated record.
GAUCGGGAGACUUGACAAGAAGGACCGGGUGAACGCGCGCAGGUUGGGAAGGAAUCCCCAGGACUACCCAGCAGACCUGCAGGCUACCGUAGCGAACCCCCAGAAUCCCACAACUUGCAGGGGCAGAGGAAACUCUGCUUCCAAAGAGCGAUCGGGACCCGCAGACCUGCGGUGACCCCCGGGAGAGACCAAGAGGCGGAGCGAGCCGGAACAAGUACGGCCACGUAGGUCCUGCGAGUGACCGGAGACUGGCGAGGAGGGUGGGCGUACCCAAUACGCCUGCGCAGAAUUACAGCAGGGGCAGGGGAAACCCUGCCUUGUGUGAGGCCGCCGUGGAAGUGAGCGGAGCCAGGACACUGACCACGCCUGUCGCGGCUGUACACUGACCAUAUUAUUGUUUACCAAUUGGUAUUUUUAGUGUUAUUAACUUGACUGUUUUUAA